ACGCCAGCGACAGCGCGUCAAGAAUGCA
Molecule: small RNA, 28 nt
Filed under: Bombyx mori (domestic silkworm)
Lineage: Eukaryota; Metazoa; Arthropoda; Insecta; Lepidoptera; Bombycidae
Description: ovarian small RNA-11486
Source: RNAcentral